Molecule: transfer RNA, 77 nt
Filed under: Thermoprotei archaeon
Lineage: Archaea; Thermoproteati; Thermoproteota; Thermoprotei
Description: tRNA-Phe
Rfam family: tRNA
About the family: Transfer RNA (tRNA) molecules are approximately 80 nucleotides in length. Their secondary structure includes four short double-helical elements and three loops (D, anti-codon, and T loops).
Source: RNAcentral
GCCGGGGUAGCUCAGCCUGGGAGAGCGCCCGGCUGAAGACCGGGCGGUCCCGGGUUCAAAUCCCGGCCCCGGCACCA